CCUACGGGGGGCUGCAGUGGGGAAUAUUGCACAAUGGGCGCAAGCCUGAUGCAGCCAUGCCGCGUGUGUGAAGAAGGCCUUCGGGUUGUAAAGCACUUUCAGCGGGGAGGAAGGCGUUAAGGUUAAUAACCUUGGCGAUUGACGUUACCCGCAGAAGAAGCACCGGCUAACUCCGUGCCAGCAGCCGCGGUAAUACGGAGGGUGCAAGCGUUAAUCGGAAUUACUGGGCGUAAAGCGCACGCAGGCGGUCUGUCAAGUCGGAUGUGAAAUCCCCGGGCUCAACCUGGGAACUGCAUUCGAAACCGGCAGGCUAGAGUCUUGUAGAGGGGGGUAGAAUUCCAGGUGUAGCGGUGAAAUGCGUAGAGAUCUGGAGGAAUACCGGUGGCGAAGGCGGCCCCCUGGACAAAGACUGACGCUCAGGUGCGAAAGCGUGGGGAGCAAACAGGAUUAGAUACCCCUGUAGUC
This 465-nucleotide ribosomal RNA is filed under the name uncultured Klebsiella sp. RNAcentral describes it as "bacterial SSU rRNA". It matches the Rfam family "Bacterial small subunit ribosomal RNA", at positions 338 to 795 of the family's 1533-position model. Lineage: Bacteria; Pseudomonadati; Pseudomonadota; Gammaproteobacteria; Enterobacterales; Enterobacteriaceae. The record is from RNAcentral.